Molecule: ribosomal RNA, 522 nt
Filed under: uncultured bacterium
Lineage: Bacteria
Description: bacterial SSU rRNA
Rfam family: Bacterial small subunit ribosomal RNA
Source: RNAcentral
AAUAGAUACCCAGGUAGUCCACGCCGUAAACGAUGAGUGCUAAGUGUUAGAGGGUUUCCGCCCUUUAGUGCUGCAGCAAACGCAUUAAGCACUCCGCCUGGGGAGUACGGCCGCAAGGCUGAAACUCAAAGGAAUUGACGGGGGCCCGCACAAGCGGUGGAGCAUGUGGUUUAAUUCGAAGCAACGCGAAGAACCUUACCAGGUCUUGACAUCCUCUGACACUCCUAGAGAUAGGACGUUCCCCUUCGGGGGACAGAGUGACAGGUGGUGCAUGGUUGUCGUCAGCUCGUGUCGUGAGAUGUUGGGUUAAGUCCCGCAACGAGCGCAACCCUUGAUCUUAGUUGCCAGCAUUAAGUUGGGCACUCUAAGGUGACUGCCGGUGACAAACCGGAGGAAGGUGGGGAUGACGUCAAAUCAUCAUGCCCCUUAUGACCUGGGCUACACACGUGCUACAAUGGAUGGUACAAAGGGCAGCAAAACCGCGAGGUCGAGCAAAUCCCAUAAAACCAUUCUCAGUUCGGA